Molecule: ribosomal RNA, 825 nt
Filed under: Odontomachus banksi
Lineage: Eukaryota; Metazoa; Arthropoda; Insecta; Hymenoptera; Formicidae
Description: eukaryotic LSU rRNA
Rfam family: Eukaryotic large subunit ribosomal RNA
Source: RNAcentral
CGUUCAGGGGUAAACCUAAGAAACCCAAAAGAUCGAACGGGGAGAUUCAUCGUCAGCGACAUCGGCUUCGCGUCGGUGGGCGAUGUCCCGCGGUUUCUCGCGCGGGCACGCUACCGUGCGCGCAUGACCGGCUUCGUCGUCGUGCACUUCUCCCCUAGUAGAACGUCGCGACCCGCUGGGUGUCGGUCUACGGCCCGGGUGAGGUGACUGUCGCGUCGCCGGUAAAACGGCACGCGGCAAACCCUCGGACGCCCGGCCGGCUGCCCGGCGGUACUCGCACGGUAUCAGGCCGCAGUUUGUCUGCGUCAAGCCCGUCGCAAGCGCGCGCCACGGUUACUCGGAGGUACGGACCUAGCGCCGUCCCCGGUCCUGGUCCGCUGUUGGCCGACGGUGACCUUUGACAGGCCUUACGGGGCGACGUGGGGGGGCUUUCGCCCCGUUCCACGUCCGCCCUAAUACCGGUCGGCGACGCUACUGCUUUGGGUACUCUUAGGACCCGUCUUGAAACACGGACCAAGGAGUCUAACAUGUGCGCGAGUCAUUGGGACUAGCAAAACCCAAAGGCGCAAUGAAAGUGAAGGUCGGCCCUGGCGCCGACCGAGGGAGGAUGGGCCGCGUCGCGAUGCGGCCUCGCACUCCCGGGGCGUCUCGUUCUCAUCGCGAGCAGAGGCGCACCAAGAGCGUACACGUUGGGACCCGAAAGAUGGUGAACUAUGCCUGGUCAGGACGAAGUCAGGGGAAACCCUGAUGGAGGUCCGUAGCGAUUCUGACGUGCAAAUCGAUCGUCGGAACUGGGUAUAGGGGCGAAAGACUAAUCGAACCAUC